UACGUAGGUGGCUAGCGUUGUCCGGAAUCAUUGGGCGUAAAGAGCGUGUAGGCGGCCCGGUAAGUCCGCUGUGAAAGUCGGGGGCUCAACCCUCGAAUGCCGGUGGAUACUGUCGGGCUAGAGUGCGGAAGAGGCGAGUGGAAUUCCUGGUGUAGCGGUGAAAUGCGCAGAUAUCAGGAGGAACACCGAUUGCGAAGGCAGCUCGCUGGGACGUUACUGACGCUGAGACGCGAAAGCGUGGGGAGCAAACAGG
RNAcentral lists this ribosomal RNA (253 nucleotides) under uncultured bacterium. Its description in RNAcentral is "partial 16S ribosomal RNA". It matches the Rfam family "Bacterial small subunit ribosomal RNA", at positions 524 to 776 of the family's 1533-position model. The record is from RNAcentral.